GGCAAAGUUAAUAAGGGCGCACGGUGGAUGCCUUGGCAUUAAGAGCCGAAGAAGGACGUGACUAACGACGAUAUUCUAGGGGGAGCAGUAAGUACGCAUUGAUCCCUAGGUCUCCGAAUGGGGAAACCCACUAUGUUAUGCAUAGUAUCCGUAAGUGAAUACAUAGCUUACGCGAAGGUAACGCAGAGAACUGAAACAUCUAAGUACCUGCAGGAAGAGAAAGUAAAAACGAUUUCCUAAGUAGCGGCGAGCGAACGGGAAACAGGCCAAACCAAGAAGCUUGCUUCUUGGGGUUGUAGGACUGCAACGUGGACUUAAAGUCUAUAGAAGAAUUACCUGGGAAGGUAAGCCAAAGAGAGUAAUAGCCUCGUAUUUGAAAUAGACUUUAUACCUAGCAGUAUCCUGAGUAGGGCUGGACACGCGAAAUCCAGUUUGAAUCCGGGAGGACCAUCUCCCAAGCCUAAAUACUCCUUAAUGACCGAUAGUGAACCAGUACCGUGAGGGAAAGGUGAAAAGAACCCCGGGAGGGGAGUGAAAUAGCACCUGAAACCGUGUGCCUACAAGAAGUUCGAGCCCGUCAAUGGGUGAGAGCGUGCCUUUUGUAGAAUGAACCGGCGAGUUACGUUAUGAUGCGAGGUUAAGCUGAAGAGGCGGAGCCGUAGCGAAAGCGAGUCUGAAUAGGGCGCUUUAGUAUCAUGAUGUAGACCCGAAACCUAGUGACCUAUCCAUGAGCAGGUUGAAGGUGCGGUAAGACGCACUGGAGGACCGAACCAGGACACGUUGAAAAGUGUUUGGAUGACUUGUGGAUAGCGGAGAAAUUCCAAACGAACUGGGAGAUAGCUGGUUCUCUCCGAAAUAGCUUUAGGGCUAGCGUCGCAAUUUAAGUGUAUUGGAGGUAGAGCACUGUUUGGAUGAGGGGCCCAUCUCGGGUUACCAAUUUCAGAUAAACUCCGAAUGCUAAUACACAUGUGCGGCAGUCAGACUGCGAGUGCUAAGAUCCGUAGUCGAAAGGGAAACAGCCCAGACCACCAGCUAAGGUCCCAAAAUAUAUGUUAAGUGGAAAAGGAUGUGGGGUUGCACAGACAACUAGGAUGUUAGCUCAGAAGCAGCUAUCAUUCAAAGAGUGCGUAAUAGCUCACUAGUCGAGUGACCCUGCGCCGAAAAUGUACCGGGGCUAAACAUAUUACCGAAGCUGUGGAUUUAAUAUUAAUUAAAUGGUAGGAGAGCGUUGUAAUCAGCGAUGAAGGUAUACCGUGAGGGGUGCUGGAGCGAUUACAAGUGAGAAUGCCGGUAUGAGUAGCGCAAGAUAAGUGAGAAUCUUAUCCACCGUAAGACUAAGGUUUCCAGGGGAAGGCUCGUCCGCCCUGGGUUAGUCGGGACCUAAGGCGAGGCCGAAAGGCGUAGUCGAUGGACAACAGGUUGAUAUUCCUGUACUAGUAUUGUUAGUGAUGGAGGGACGCAGUAGGCUAAAGGGAGCCAGUUAAUGGAUUCUGGUCUAAGCAGUGAGGUGUGGAAUGUGUCAAAUGCAUUUUCCUUUAACAUUGAGCUGUGAUGGGGAAGCAACUACGGUUGCGAAGCCCUUGAUGUCACACUGCCAAGAAAAUCUUCUAGCGUUUAAUUCAAUACUACCCGUACCGCAAACCGACACAGGUAGUCGAGGCGAGUAGCCUCAGGUGAUCGAGAGAACUCUCGUUAAGGAACUCGGCAAAAUGACCCCGUAACUUCGGGAGAAGGGGUGCUGUAGAAAUACAGCCGCAGUGAAAAGAUCCAAGCAACUGUUUAUCAAAAACACAGCUCUCUGCUAAACCGCAAGGUGAUGUAUAGGGGGUGACGCCUGCCCGGUGCUGGAAGGUUAAGAGGAGGGGUUAGCUUAGGCGAAGCUCUGAAUUGAAGCCCCAGUAAACGGCGGCCGUAACUAUAACGGUCCUAAGGUAGCGAAAUUCCUUGUCGGGUAAGUUCCGACCCGCACGAAAGGCGUAAUGAUUUGGAUACUGUCUCAACGAGAGACUCGGUGAAAUUUUAGUACCUGUGAAGAUGCAGGUUACCCGCGACAGGACGGAAAGACCCCAUGGAGCUUUACUGCAGAUUGAUAUUGAGUACCUGUGAAGCAUGUACAGGAUAGGUAGGAGACUUUGACCUUGGGACGCUAGUUUCAAGUGAGUCGCUGUUGGGAUACUACCCUUGCUUCAUGGUUGCUCUAACCCACACGCAUAAUCGGCGUGGGAGACAGUGUCUGUCGGGCAGUUUGACUGGGGCGGUCGCCUCCUAAAGAGUAACGGAGGCGCCCAAAGGUUCCCUCAACAUGGUUGGAAAUCAUGUGUAGAGUGUAAAGGUAUAAGGGAGCUUGACUGCGAGAGCUACAACUCGAGCAGGUAGGAAACUAGGGCUUAGUGAUCCGGUGGUACCGCAUGGAAGGGCCAUCGCUCAACGGAUAAAAGCUACCCUGGGGAUAACAGGCUUAUCUCCCCAAGAGUUCACAUCGACGGGGAGGUUUGGCACCUCGAUGUCGGCUCGUCGCAUCCUGGGGCUGUAGUCGGUCCCAAGGGUUGGGCUGUUCGCCCAUUAAAGCGGCACGCGAGCUGGGUUCAGAACGUCGUGAGACAGUUCGGUCCCUAUCCGUCGCGGGCGUAGGAAAUUUGAGAGGAUCUGCCCUUAGUACGAGAGGACCGGGGUGGACUUACCGCUGGUGUACCAGUUGUUCCGCCAGGAGCACCGCUGGGUAGCUAUGUAGGGAAGGGAUAAGCGCUGAAAGCAUCUAAGUGCGAAGCCCACCUCAAGAUGAGAUUUCCCAUUCUUUAUGAAUUAAGAGCCCUGAGAGAUGAUCAGGUUGAUAGGCUGGAAGUGGAAGUCCUGCGAGGGAUGGAGCGGACCAGUACUAAUAGCUCGAGGACUUUACCAA
This 2899-nucleotide ribosomal RNA is filed under the name Lactococcus garvieae. RNAcentral describes it as "23S ribosomal RNA". It matches the Rfam family "Bacterial large subunit ribosomal RNA". The record is from RNAcentral. Lineage: Bacteria; Bacillati; Bacillota; Bacilli; Lactobacillales; Streptococcaceae.